UACAGAGGUCCCAAGCGUUGUUCGGAUUUACUGGGCGUAAAGGGUGCGUAGGCGGUCGGGUAAGUCUGGUGUGAAAUCUUCGAGCUUAACUCGGAAACUGCAUUGGAUACUAUUCGGCUAGAGAGUUGGAGGGGGGACUGGAAUACUUGGUGUAGCAGUGAAAUGCGUAGAUAUCAAGUGGAACACCAGUGGCGAAGGCGAGUCCCUGGACAACUUCUGACGCUGAGGCACGAAAGCUAGGGGAGCAAACAGG
Molecule: ribosomal RNA, 253 nt
Filed under: uncultured bacterium
Lineage: Bacteria
Description: partial 16S ribosomal RNA
Rfam family: Bacterial small subunit ribosomal RNA
Source: RNAcentral